This 2904-nucleotide ribosomal RNA is filed under the name Escherichia coli. Its description in RNAcentral is "bacterial LSU rRNA". It matches the Rfam family "Bacterial large subunit ribosomal RNA". The record is from RNAcentral. Lineage: Bacteria; Pseudomonadati; Pseudomonadota; Gammaproteobacteria; Enterobacterales; Enterobacteriaceae.
UUAAGCGACUAAGCGUACACGGUGGAUGCCCUGGCAGUCAGAGGCGAUGAAGGACGUGCUAAUCUGCGAUAAGCGUCGGUAAGGUGAUAUGAACCGUUAUAACCGGCGAUUUCCGAAUGGGGAAACCCAGUGUGAUUCGUCACACUAUCAUUAACUGAAUCCAUAGGUUAAUGAGGCGAACCGGGGGAACUGAAACAUCUAAGUACCCCGAGGAAAAGAAAUCAACCGAGAUUCCCCCAGUAGCGGCGAGCGAACGGGGAGCAGCCCAGAGCCUGAAUCAGUGUGUGUGUUAGUGGAAGCGUCUGGAAAGGCGCGCGAUACAGGGUGACAGCCCCGUACACAAAAAUGCACAUACUGUGAGCUCGAUGAGUAGGGCGGGACACGUGGUAUCCUGUCUGAAUAUGGGGGGACCAUCCUCCAAGGCUAAAUACUCCUGACUGACCGAUAGUGAACCAGUACCGUGAGGGAAAGGCGAAAAGAACCCCGGCGAGGGGAGUGAAAAAGAACCUGAAACCGUGUACGUACAAGCAGUGGGAGCACAGAGCAAUCUGUGUGACUGCGUACCUUUUGUAUAAUGGGUCAGCGACUUAUAUUCUGUAGCAAGGUUAACCGAAUAGGGGAGCCGAAGGGAAACCGAGUCUUAACUGGGCGUUAAGUUGCAGGGUAUAGACCCGAAACCCGGUGAUCUAGCCAUGGGCAGGUUGAAGGUUGGGUAACACUAACUGGAGGACCGAACCGACUAAUGUUGAAAAAUUAGCGGAUGACUUGUGGCUGGGGGUGAAAGGCCAAUCAAACCGGGAGAUAGCUGGUUCUCCCCGAAAGCUAUUUAGGUAGCGCCUCGUGAAUUCAUCUCCGGGGGUAGAGCACUGUUUCGGCAAGGGGGUCAUCCCGACUUACCAACCCGAUGCAAACUGCGAAUACCGGAGAAUGUUAUCACGGGAGACACACGGCGGGUGCUAACGUCCGUCGUGAAGAGGGAAACAACCCAGACCGCCAGCUAAGGUCCCAAAGUCAUGGUUAAGUGGGAAACGAUGUGGGAAGGCCCAGACAGCCAGGAUGUUGGCUUAGAAGCAGCCAUCAUUUAAAGAAAGCGUAAUAGCUCACUGGUCGAGUCGGCCUGCGCGGAAGAUGUAACGGGGCUAAACCAUGCACCGAAGCUGCGGCAGCGACGCUUAUGCGUUGUUGGGUAGGGGAGCGUUCUGUAAGCCUGCGAAGGUGUGCUGUGAGGCAUGCUGGAGGUAUCAGAAGUGCGAAUGCUGACAUAAGUAACGAUAAAGCGGGUGAAAAGCCCGCUCGCCGGAAGACCAAGGGUUCCUGUCCAACGUUAAUCGGGGCAGGGUGAGUCGACCCCUAAGGCGAGGCCGAAAGGCGUAGUCGAUGGGAAACAGGUUAAUAUUCCUGUACUUGGUGUUACUGCGAAGGGGGGACGGAGAAGGCUAUGUUGGCCGGGCGACGGUUGUCCCGGUUUAAGCGUGUAGGCUGGUUUUCCAGGCAAAUCCGGAAAAUCAAGGCUGAGGCGUGAUGACGAGGCACUACGGUGCUGAAGCAACAAAUGCCCUGCUUCCAGGAAAAGCCUCUAAGCAUCAGGUAACAUCAAAUCGUACCCCAAACCGACACAGGUGGUCAGGUAGAGAAUACCAAGGCGCUUGAGAGAACUCGGGUGAAGGAACUAGGCAAAAUGGUGCCGUAACUUCGGGAGAAGGCACGCUGAUAUGUAGGUGAAGUCCCUCGCGGAUGGAGCUGAAAUCAGUCGAAGAUACCAGCUGGCUGCAACUGUUUAUUAAAAACACAGCACUGUGCAAACACGAAAGUGGACGUAUACGGUGUGACGCCUGCCCGGUGCCGGAAGGUUAAUUGAUGGGGUCAGCGCAAGCGAAGCUCUUGAUCGAAGCCCCGGUAAACGGCGGCCGUAACUAUAACGGUCCUAAGGUAGCGAAAUUCCUUGUCGGGUAAGUUCCGACCUGCACGAAUGGCGUAAUGAUGGCCAGGCUGUCUCCACCCGAGACUCAGUGAAAUUGAACUCGCUGUGAAGAUGCAGUGUACCCGCGGCAAGACGGAAAGACCCCGUGAACCUUUACUAUAGCUUGACACUGAACAUUGAGCCUUGAUGUGUAGGAUAGGUGGGAGGCUUGGAAGUGUGGACGCCAGUCUGCAUGGAGCCGACCUUGAAAUACCACCCUUUAAUGUUUGAUGUUCUAACGUUGACCCGUAAUCCGGGUUGCGGACAGUGUCUGGUGGGUAGUUUGACUGGGGCGGUCUCCUCCUAAAGAGUAACGGAGGAGCACGAAGGUUGGCUAAUCCUGGUCGGACAUCAGGAGGUUAGUGCAAUGGCAUAAGCCAGCUUGACUGCGAGCGUGACGGCGCGAGCAGGUGCGAAAGCAGGUCAUAGUGAUCCGGUGGUUCUGAAUGGAAGGGCCAUCGCUCAACGGAUAAAAGGUACUCCGGGGAUAACAGGCUGAUACCGCCCAAGAGUUCAUAUCGACGGCGGUGUUUGGCACCUCGAUGUCGGCUCAUCACAUCCUGGGGCUGAAGUAGGUCCCAAGGGUAUGGCUGUUCGCCAUUUAAAGUGGUACGCGAGCUGGGUUUAGAACGUCGUGAGACAGUUCGGUCCCUAUCUGCCGUGGGCGCUGGAGAACUGAGGGGGGCUGCUCCUAGUACGAGAGGACCGGAGUGGACGCAUCACUGGUGUUCGGGUUGUCAUGCCAAUGGCACUGCCCGGUAGCUAAAUGCGGAAGAGAUAAGUGCUGAAAGCAUCUAAGCACGAAACUUGCCCCGAGAUGAGUUCUCCCUGACUCCUUGAGAGUCCUGAAGGAACGUUGAAGACGACGACGUUGAUAGGCCGGAUGUGUAAGCGCAGCGAUGCGUUGAGCUAACCGGUACUAAUGAACCGUGAGGCUUAACCUU